Molecule: long non-coding RNA, 1192 nt
Organism: Dendroctonus ponderosae (mountain pine beetle)
Lineage: Eukaryota; Metazoa; Arthropoda; Insecta; Coleoptera; Curculionidae
Exons: 2
Source: RefSeq, a predicted model, not a curated record
GGAAUAUUUGCCCGGAAUCAAGAAAAGUGAUCAAGGGUUGUUCUUCUUGUCUGUCUUCAAUAAACUCGGUGGCAAACAUUCAAAUUACUUAAGGUUGUUUGUUCGUGGUGUUCAUUGCCUUGAUAAAUAGUGCUUUUAAAGGAAAUUAAAAACAAGCAACACCCAACUAUUGCCAUGAAAAAUCCCGGACAAAAUCCGACCUCCGCCACUGCUGCAGCAAUCAACGAUUCCGUAUAGUGAGUGUGCUGUACUGUACUGUUCUUAUGCAGCCUCAGACUUUGAAUUUUAGUUGGCUGUGCACCGCGCAAACAAAUGCUGAUGAAACAUGUGCCAGUCGGGCGACGUUUCGGCUACAUCGAGCUUGUUUCCGGUUUCCAAAUUUUUGUCCCCCCAGUGAUUUGUGAAUAAUCUUGUGGCGUUUUACCAGUGCAUUCGGCAAUGUCUUGGCUUCGGCGAGUGUCCGAUCCAGUUCGGACGUCCAGAAAAUUUUCCGGAUACGAUUUUCCAGAGGAUGGCGGAUCGUUGUGUUCUGAUGACUCGUUAUCCUCAGGGAAAGUACUUAUGUUGAGCAGCCGCUUUUAAGCGCCGUUUGGAACGGUUCAAGGACCCGCUCUUAUUUGAUUUUGCCAUUAUUAUAAUUUCUCGAAUAUUUGCUCAAUUCGUAUGGGCAAUUGUACCGGUCAAGGCUGUUGUUACGCAACCAAACAGGCUUAACAUUGUUUUUAAUCGUCUAGUAAAUCGGGCUGUUGUUUGUACAUUGGAGCAAUAAAUAAUGGAAUUUGUCAAAGUCUUCAAGUCAAGAAAGGUUGCCCUGAGAAAACCUGCGGAUAAAAGACGACAAAUUUUAUCUAAUUGGAAAUGACGCUCUCUCUGAAAGUUGUUUAAUGUCCCACGGUUCCAGCUUUUGUCUGAUUCAUCACGAAAUCAUUAAACAACGGGGUGUACGCUGUUGUUGACUGUUCGAUGGGUAACAUUUUCCCAUUAAAGAUAAUCAUCAGUUAAACAUGAAAAUUAAGUCUGGCAAUCGAGAAUUAUCUGAACCAAUUUGAUUGCAACUAAAAAGGUAAGAAAUAUGUGUUUGUCACAUAAAUACGACCAAACGAAACGUUGUGAUUAAAACAUCUUUCUGAGACAAUGCAAGCGGAAAUAAACUGAUCAACAAUGUCCAGUUGGCGUGUUGGUGCACGUUCAA